CUUCGGACACGCAGCUGUUCUCCGCUAGGAACUCCUGCCGGGCCGACUUCAGCUCCUGCCUCAGCCGGCGCUCGUAGGGCAGCUCGAUCGCAGAGAAAAUGCCGGCGCCAGCGAGAAGCUCUCGGAGAGAAUAGGAGCGGGUGGCAGUGACGUCAGCGAUACACCGGACCAGGUCAAGCCAUGGUUGGGCCAGCCAUCCAGAUCAGAGUCUUCGCCACACAAGAAGCCAUCACCAGCAAACCCCACAGCACACAUACACUUGAACAAGAC
Lampris incognitus (smalleye Pacific opah) is the source of this 270-nucleotide long non-coding RNA. RefSeq lists it as uncharacterized. The transcript is spliced from 3 exons. The record is from RefSeq and is a predicted model, not a curated record. NCBI's taxonomy places the organism in Eukaryota, Metazoa, Chordata, Actinopteri, Lampriformes, Lampridae.